This 749-nucleotide ribosomal RNA is filed under the name uncultured bacterium. RNAcentral's name for it is "bacterial SSU rRNA". It matches the Rfam family "Bacterial small subunit ribosomal RNA", at positions 54 to 802 of the family's 1533-position model. The record is from RNAcentral.
CAUGCAGUCGAACGAAGCACCUUAUUCUGAUUUCUUCGGAAUGAAAAAUUUGGUGACUGAGUGGCGGACGGGUGAGUAACGCGUGGGUAACCUGCCUCAUACAGGGGGAUAACAGUUAGAAAUGACUGCUAAUACCGCAUAAGACCACAGCACCGCAUGGUGCAGGGGUAAAAACUCCGGUGGUAUGAGAUGGACCCGCGUCUGAUUAGGUAGUUGGUGGGGUAACGGCCUACCAAGCCGACGAUCAGUAGCCGACCUGAGAGGGUGACCGGCCACAUUGGGACUGAGACACGGCCCAAACUCCUACGGGAGGCAGCAGUGGGGAAUAUUGCACAAUGGGGGAAACCCUGAUGCAGCGACGCCGCGUGAGCGAUGAAGUAUUUCGGUAUGUAAAGCUCUAUCAGCAGGGAAGAAAAUGACGGUACCUGACUAAGAAGCACCGGCUAAAUACGUGCCAGCAGCCGCGGUAAUACGUAUGGUGCAAGCGUUAUCCGGAUUUACUGGGUGUAAAGGGAGCGUAGACGGAGUGGCAAGUCUGAUGUGAAAACCCGGGGCUCAACCCCGGGACUGCAUUGGAAACUGUCAAUCUAGAGUACCGGAGAGGUAAGCGGAAUUCCUAGUGUAGCGGUGAAAUGCGUAGAUAUUAGGAGGAACACCAGUGGCGAAGGCGGCUUACUGGACGGUAACUGACGUUGAGGCUCGAAAGCGUGGGGAGCAAACAGGAUUAGAUACCCUGGUAGUCCACGCCG